This is a long non-coding RNA of Aegilops tauschii subsp. strangulata, 1293 nucleotides long. RefSeq lists it as uncharacterized. The record is from RefSeq and is a predicted model, not a curated record. Lineage: Eukaryota; Viridiplantae; Streptophyta; Magnoliopsida; Poales; Poaceae.
AACCACAAUGGCGGCCCACCAUCUCCUCCUCCUCUGCCCUACCUCGCAGCCCGGUGUCGCCUGUCCGCACCCCCAGCAGCCGCAAGAUUGGGUCGCCAUCCCGCCGCACGAGCCAUACGCGUUGCUGCGACCAGCCACCACCCGAGUCCGCUGCAUAUUGGCAGGCACAACCGUCUCCCUUUGGUUGACUCCUUCAGUCGUCCGUCUACCCUGACACAGCCACCCGCUGGGCCGAGCGAGAUCGUCAUGACGCUUUGGAUCGGAGGCAUGCGGUAUUGGAUGGAGGAUAUAUAACUACAUCUACAGUUGAUCCGUGAGCAAGGGCGAGCAGCGCUGAACAGGAAAGCCUCCCCGCCACCAUUAGGGAGCUCUUGGUUGCACCGCAAGCUGCAAGGCCUUGUCAAAUCACUCAUGUCGCUUAACGGCUAUGGCCUCUCGCUGGUCAAGAUGGAUCAUUUUGUGCAGAACCCACGGACAUGCCUUUUCCUUGGUGCGGGCAAGGCACACAUAACUCCAGGUAUGUACUUUUCAUUAGUGAAUUGAAAGAAAGAAAAGGAAAACAUGUUAUCUGUUUGUCCACAUUGCUUCGUGAUCAUGUUCGUUUGUGAAGAAAAAUAGCACACGACAUUACUCAAUGUUUUGAAUAUUUUAUGUUUUAGUUAUAUAUUUCUUUAUAUCGUUAUCAUCCUAUUUUAAAUGAAUACAUCAGAGUUGUGUUUACUGUACUUUAAUUUUUUCUUCAUGAAAUCUCUGUUCUGUUCUGCUUGAAUUUGUAUCAAGGGACAGAGUUUGGUUCCAUGCAUAUUGCGACAACUUAAACUAUUUCUUGAGCAAAGCUUCCUGAUGGACAUCCUGCUUCACAUUUCGCAAAGGUGCUGCCCAUGGUUGCUCCAGUUACUCGAGCUCAGCGCCACCUGCUUGCAUGAGAUUUUCUCUGCAGUCACGCUGCCUCUUUAUACCUGAACCAUGAUGUGACCGCAGUACACCACUGAGGCUUGAUUAAGUCGAGAAGGCUUUGAGUGAGCUCCACAUAGCUAUUGACCGGGUCUUUGGUCACUGUCAGGCCUGAGGAAGUGCAUACUGAAAAAUACGAGGAGCAGAUGGGGUAGACCAAUGUGUUUUUUAUGUCAGAAUCAGAAUGCUAUGAGAGUUGUACAUGUGCUUUCGUGGGCCAUGGGUGUGUGUGCUUGUGGAGCGCGUGGGUUAUUUAAAGGCAUUGAUGAUGAAAUAGAAUUUUGAAUCCCAUCCACCCCAUAUCCGAACUCAACAAAAAAAGAAAGAUAAGGUUGCUAA